AUGAGUGCUCCUGCGUCCAGCCCACUCGAGUGUCUGUUGCAACAACUUAUCCAGCUGUGUACUAUGCCUAAUCAAGUUGAAAUCCAUCCACCAACUGAUGUCCAUACAAAAGGGAGAUACAAAAGAAUUAAGGAGCACUUAGACAAGGUUGGGCAUCAAAAUAAGGAUGGAGAAGGGAAGCAAAAUAAGGAUGGAGAGGGGAAGAAAAAUGUUGGUGGACAAAAAAAGAAAGUGCCUAGAACGUGCAAGAAUUGUCUUGUUCCAGCUCCAGGACGCAUUUCGGCACGACAACUUGGUGUUGAAGCUCAUGUGUUGGAUGGAUUUUACAUGAACUUUGUGCUUUAUAUUUCCUAG
Molecule: ribosomal RNA, 354 nt
Filed under: Triticum aestivum (bread wheat)
Lineage: Eukaryota; Viridiplantae; Streptophyta; Magnoliopsida; Poales; Poaceae
Description: partial small subunit ribosomal RNA
Source: RNAcentral